AACGAGUGAUGUGGGUAUCUAACGGGCAGUGUGGGUAUCUAACGAGCGGUGUAGGUAUCUAACGAGUGAUGUGGGUAUCUAACGAGCGGUGUGAGUAUCUAACGAGCGGUGUGGGUAUCUAACGAGCGGUGUGGGUAUCUAACGAGCGGUGUGAGUAUCUAACGAGCGGUGUGGGUAUCUAACGAGCGGUGUGGGUAUCUAACGAGUGGUGUGGGUAUCUAACGAGCGGUGUGUGUAUCUAACGAACAGUGUUGGUUUCUAACGAGCUGUGUGGGUAUCUAACGAGCGGUUUUGGUUUCUAACGAGCGGUGUGGGUAUCUAGCGGGCGGUGUGUGUAUGGCGUGUUUAUGUAUGGUGAGUCGUGGGGAUGGUACAAGUAUACGGUAUUUACUGGUAUUACCUACAGAGAUGGAUCUACAAACCAUUUUAUCGCCAUUGUCUCAUUUUUGUUAUUCUAACUUUCUAUUUGAUGCAACGAUGUAAAUGUUUCUUCAAUUUCCUUAAACAUCUCGAGCUUACUAUUUCGUGGUCAUGUUGCAUAAACUGUGAACAAAUAAAACUAAAAAGUA
Molecule: long non-coding RNA, 569 nt
Organism: Pecten maximus
Lineage: Eukaryota; Metazoa; Mollusca; Bivalvia; Pectinida; Pectinidae
Exons: 2
Source: RefSeq, a predicted model, not a curated record